CAAAUGACCAAACAAAAAAAAAACCCACAUUCUACUGUUACUGCACACAGAUAAUUUACAUAUAAUGAAAUCACACAUGAAUUAACUGUUGACCACAGUUACAAUUUAUAGGGUUUUCAGAAUGAAUGUCCAUGCUACUUAUUUGUAUAUCAUUUACCAAAUUCUUAGAUGACAACUUACUACUAGAUACGGACCCAUAUAGCAUCUCUAUACAAUGUCUCAACUUGGACUUCAGAAUACCCUCAAACAGUUUUCAGAUCUAUAGAAGACAAUGA
Molecule: long non-coding RNA, 275 nt
Filed under: Mustela putorius furo (domestic ferret)
Lineage: Eukaryota; Metazoa; Chordata; Mammalia; Carnivora; Mustelidae
Description: lncRNA (ENSMPUG00000026665.1)
Source: RNAcentral